UGGGGAAUUUUGGACAAUGGGCGAAAGCCUGAUCCAGCAAUGCCGCGUGUGUGAAGAAGGCCUUCGGGUUGUAAAGCACUUUUGUCCGGAAAGAAAUCCUUGGCUCUAAUACAGUCGGGGGAUGACGGUACCGGAAGAAUAAGCACCGGCUAACUACGUGCCAGCAGCCGCGGUAAUACGUAGGGUGCAAGCGUUAAUCGGAAUUACUGGGCGUAAAGCGUGCGCAGGCGGUUUGCUAAGACCGAUGUGAAAUCCCCGGGCUCAACCUGGGAACUGCAUUGGUGACUGGCAGGCUAGAGUAUGGCAGAGGGGGGUAGAAUUCCACGUGUAGCAGUGAAAUGCGUAGAGAUGUGGAGGAAUACCGAUGGCGAAGGCAGCCCCCUGGGCCAAUACUGACGCUCAUGCACGAAAGCGUGGGGAGCAAACAGGAUUAGAUACCCUGGUAGUCCACGCCCUAAACGAUGUCAACUAGUUGUUGGGAUUCAUUCCUUAGUAACGUAGCUAGCGCGUGAAGUUGACCGCCUGGGGAGUACGGUCGCAAGAUUAAAACUUC
Molecule: ribosomal RNA, 553 nt
Filed under: uncultured bacterium
Lineage: Bacteria
Description: partial 16S ribosomal RNA
Rfam family: Bacterial small subunit ribosomal RNA
Source: RNAcentral